This is an RNA transcript of Capra hircus (goat), 6261 nucleotides long. It is a transcript of the gene named transmembrane and coiled-coil domains 4, with no coding region annotated. The transcript is spliced from 17 exons. The record is from RefSeq and is a predicted model, not a curated record. Lineage: Eukaryota; Metazoa; Chordata; Mammalia; Artiodactyla; Bovidae.
CGCGCGCGGGGCGGGGCCGGAGCGGCCCGGCCCGCUGGCCCUCGGCGCGCCGCCACCUUCAGUCUCUGCUGGGAUUGUCCAAAACCCUCCGGGUUCUUCUUGUUGAGACUGUUGCCUGGACACCUCCUGAGAUGGUGCAGUUACCACCGACCUCCGGUUUAACUUCCCGAUAGAGGGCAAUUUGCAUAUUUCUUAAAGAACUUCCAAGAAGCUGGACAGCCUGUUUUCAGACUUAGAGAGAAGGGAAGCCCAAGGUUGUUUCUUGAAAUCUGGGACUGGAAAUGGCCGCAAGUGACGGGUCGGGCCCGAGGCUGCCCCGGGUGGCUGAGCCGGGUGUGGAGGGGGAGCCACAUCUGCCCACGGGCCGGGAGCUGACCGAGGCCAACCGCUUCACCUACGCCGCCCUCUGCGGCAUCUCCUUGUCCCAGCUCUUUCCAGAGCCCGAGCAAAGGUCCUUCUGCACAGACUUUGUGGUUGGCCUGGUGAAGUGGCUGGACCUGUCUGAAGCCGUCUUGCCUACUAUGACUGCUUUUGCCAGUGGUCUGGGAGGCGAAGGAGCAGACAUGUUUGCUCAGGUUUUGUUGAAGGACCCCAUCUUGAAGGAUGACCCACUGGUGAUCACUCAGGACCUUCUGAGCUUCUCACUCAAGGAUGGCCGCUACGAUGCUCGGGCCCGCGUCCUCAUCUGCCACAUGGCCUCCCUCCUCCGAGCACCCGUGGAGGAGCUCGACCUCCUGGAAGAGACCUUCCUCGAGAGCCUGAAGGAAACCAAAGAGGAGGACUCUGAGUCUGCCGAGGCAUCCCGGAAGAAGAAGGAGAACAGGAGGAAGUGGAAGCGCUAUCUGCUGAUAGGCCUGGCGACCGUGGGAGGCGGGACGGUGAUCGGCGUCACCGGGGGCCUGGCCGCUCCUCUCGUUGCUGCUGGGGCCGCCACCGUCAUCGGCAGCGCUGGGGCCGCGGCUCUGGGCUCAGCGGCCGGCAUCGCCAUCAUGACCUCGCUGUUCGGCGCCGCUGGAGCCGGCCUGACAGGAUACAAGAUGAAGAAGCGUGUUGGGGCCAUUGAGGAGUUCACAUUUCUGCCCCUGACGGAAGGCAGGCAGCUGCACAUCACCGUCGCCAUCACGGGAUGGCUGGCAUCCGGGAAAUACCGCACCUUCAACGCCCCGUGGGCUGCCCUGGCCCGCAGCCGUGAGCAGUACUGCCUGGCCUGGGAGGCCAAGUACCUGAUGGAGCUCGGCAACGCCCUGGAGACCAUCCUCAGCGGUCUUGCCAACAUGGUGGCCCAGGAGGCCCUGAAGUACACGGUGUUGUCUGGCAUCGUGGCCGCCCUCACCUGGCCAGCCUCACUCCUCAGUGUCGCCAAUGUCAUUGACAACCCCUGGGGCGUGUGCCUCUAUCGAUCGGCGGAGGUUGGCAAGCACCUGGCCCACAUUCUGCUCUCCCGGCAGCAGGGCCGGCGGCCUGUCACCCUGAUCGGCUUCAGCCUGGGAGCCAGAGUCAUCUACUUCUGUCUGCAGGAGAUGGCUCAGGAAAAAGAUUGCCAAGGGAUCAUUGAGGACGUCGUCCUGCUGGGCGCACCUGUGGACGGAGAAGCCAAGAACUGGGAGCCUUUCCGGAAGGUGGUUUCUGGAAGGAUCGUCAAUGGCUACUGCAGGGCGGACUGGCUGCUGAGCUUCGUCUACCGCACGUCCUCCGUGCGGCUCCGCGUGGCCGGCCUGCAGCCUGUGCUGCUGCAAGACAGGAGGGUGGAGAACGUGGACCUGUCCUCCGUGGUCAGUGGCCACUUGGACUAUGCCAGGCAGAUGGACGUCAUCCUGAAGGCCGUGGGCAUCCGCACCAAGCCCAGCUGGGACGAGAAGGGACUCUUGCUGGCCCCAGGCAGCCUGCCCCAAGAGGAAUCCCGCCGGGCGGCAGCCACCUCUUCAUCGGAUCAGACCACCAACCAGGAUGGGCAAACCCAGGGUCCCACAUCCGGAGACACCCCCAAAGCAGCCAUACCCCCUGACCUCCACCAAGCCCAGGUGCCAGCGGGACUGAACCAGUCUGAAGGGGCCUCCCUCCCUGCUGCUACCAGGCCUGCUGAGAGCCCCCCUCUCUGCAGCCAUGGCCUGGGCGCCAACCCACUGGGCUGCCCUGCCUGUGCCCGUGAGACACAGGGGCCCUGCCCAGGGCUGGACUGACCCGAGGAGAGUCACCUUCCCAGACUGCUUCAUGGAGCACCCUCUUACUCUGCUUCACCGACUCCCCUGCCACAAGCUCUGGAGAUGGAGAAUCUCUACCACUGCCUUUGCUAAAUUGAAGACGUUGGUACUGGAAGGACAGGGGCUUGUAAGGAGACACUGUCCCUUCCCCGAGGAAUGGAGGCCAGAGCUCCACAGAGUCAAGCCAGCACAGUACGGAUCCCUGGGGCUGAACUGGCUGGGUACCUCCUGUGCUUUGGGUCAGCGCUGGGGGUCGAUUGCCCAUCCGGAGCUCUCUGGAGCCACCCUGCCAAGCUCUCCAGCCUCAAGAGCCUGGUGUCUGCCCACCCCUCUAACCACUAUCCAGAGCUGUGCUCCAGCCCACAGGCGCCAUGGGGGGGUGGGUCCAGUGGGGAGUGGACAGCUUACCCUCUCUGCCCUUGGGAGAUCCGAUGAGAUUUGCCGCGUGCAGCCAUCCAGGCCGAGCCCUGCACAACCACAGGGGCGGCCAUCAGAAACACGUGACGUGAAGGCCCCCCCACAAAGCCACAGGGGGGCCCUGAAUAUAAUGGUUACAGAGCAGGAUGCAGAGACCCUGGGUCCGCAGGCAGUGUGGACAGGAGCUGGGCCUGGGACAAGAAUGAAGUACGUGGGGGGAUUUCCUAUGGCAGAAACAAAGGUGUGAUGAUCAUAAUAAUAGAUAAUAACACUCGCUACCAUUUAUUAAGCAUUUACCGUGUGCAGAGCGCUUUGUACGGAUUGUCUCAGCUGACCCCUCACAACAACCCAGUGAGCAGAUAUUCAGAGCCUGUUGGUCCAAAGCACUGCUGGUCACACAGCCUGCUGCUGUUGGUCCAAACCGCUCAUGUCACCCACGGAAGACUCAGCCCUGAGAGAGGAAAGGACGUUGCUGAGGUCCCAGAGCAAGCUCGGGCAGAGUCUGGACCAGAACACAGGACACCCGCACCCAGAGUCUCUUCCCCCUUCACCAGCGGCUUCUCCAGCCCCAGUGGCCCUUCAAGCAGAUUCGGUCCACACCGCAGUCACCACCUCAGCUAGGGCUUAUUGAGAGUCCACGGGGGCAAGCCUGGGGCUAGAAGGGGAGCCCGACAAGCACCGUGGCCCCUGCAGAGUCAGUGGCAUGGCCAGAAUGGAGUCUCCAUGCUCAGUACCAUGGAGAGCACCAGGCCGCCCAGGGUGGCCCCCGGGAUCUCGGUUGGUAGAACUUGGUGGGAAGAUGGGAGGGAGGCGGGCAGGGAGUAAGAAAAACCUCAGACUGAAAGGGAGCCUCAAGCGGGUAGACUUUGGCAACCAAGAGUUCCUCGUCAGAAAAACAAAAGCAAGUCCUGUGCCGGCGUCCACCUGCCUUCCCCACGGCACCUGCCCGUACCAGGGAUGGCUUCUCUACCACUCUGCUGACCCAGUGCCCAUGGCUGCUUCCCUCACUGACCCCAGGGAAGGCCAGAAGGCAGCAGGAGAGGGACUGGUUCUGUCCUCAUCAGAUAGUUCCCUUCUAGGCCAAAGGAAGCCCAAGGUAGGGAACACCCAUCCUUGAUCUUGAGCAAGAACCCAGCAGCUACCCAUGUGCCCCCAGGAGGGGCAGGGCAGCAGCCUAGCCAGGAGUUGGGGAGACAGAGUCAGAUCGUGGGCUGCGGGCCGGGGCUGAGGAGGAGGAGGAAGGCAAGGGUAAAAAAGUGGGAACAGUGGCCCUUCCUGGCCCUCCGCCAGGGGCCAGGGGAUUGGAUGGCCGGGAGUUACAACAGCAGCAGGGACCACCCACUAACCACCUGCCAAGUACUGGGCGUUCUGUGCCCAUAACGCCCUAGGAGGCAGGCAUCGUUUCCCCAUUUGCAUGUGGAAUACCAGUCUCAGAGGUUAAGUAACUUGUACAAGGGCUGGAAAGCAGUGAAGCGGAGGUUCGAACUUUGUCUGCCUGACUCCCAGGCUCAGAUAUUUACUAUGCAGCACGUAUAUCCUGAGAGCCUAGCUGGUCUGAAAACUGUCUAGCCAGACAUCCUCAGGUUAAAGAUCCCCUGAGCCAGCACAUCUCAAACCAUAGCGUGCACACGAUUCACCUGGCUACCAGCAGGUCUAGGGUGGGGCAGGGGCAGGGGCAGGGGCGUGCACUUCUAACAGACUCCCGGGAGCUGAUGCUGAUGGUCAAGGCCCGCAGAGCAAGGGAUCUGGCCCAGCGCUGAGCCACCUCUGCAGACAGAGGCAUGGCUCCCAUGCAGGCUGAUAAGAUGUGCAAGGGAGGUGACUGCCUGCAUCCUAAGCUGGACCAAGAGGGCCUUACCCCACUCCUGGGAGUCCUCCAACCCUGCUCAACACACACACACCAGUUACACUCAGUGGUGAGGCAUCCUGGAGAAAACUGUCCUAAAGCCAGCAACCAGGCCUCCAGGUUGGAGGCCUGCGGUGUGCAGGGGGUGCUGACUCAGUGCCACCCACUGGAGCUCAGAAUGGCUCCCCAGAGGACCUGUAGCCUCCUGGUUUUAGCCAAGGGCUGGUCCAAGGCCUUGGGGGACCUGGUCCCAUCCAGUCCAGUUCUCCACGCCUGCAUCAGUUCGUGGGGGUCCCAGGUGGAUGCGGCCGCAGCUCAGGCUCCGUGCGAUCGAUGCUGAAGAAGUUGACGGUAGUAGUGGCCCUGGCAGGAGGGGGUGGAUCCCGGGUGGCCUCGCCAGGCAGCAGCAGCUGGCCCGUGAGCCGUGGGCCAGGAAAGCCCCCGGAGCCCGAGCCCGAGUCCGAGUCCGAGUCCGGCGGCAGGGGCAGGGGCAGCACGUGCUGCAGGCUCAGGCCGGGCCGCGCGCCGCUGUGAGAGGUCCGCACGGAGGGCGAGGCGAGGCCCGGCUGCUGCUCCCGGGGGCCGCAGGGACACGGCAGGAGCCUGCCCAGGGCCCGCCUGAAGUCCCGCAUGAAGAGAGGGUAGAUGAUGGGGUUCAUGGUGCUGUUGCAGUAGCCCAGCCACGUGAGGACGUCAAAGAGCCCCAGGGAGAUGCAGCCACACACGGCCUGGAGGGGGCGGGGGGACAUCCUGGAGCCGGGGCGCAGGGCACCCCACCCGGCGUGGAUGUGACAGACCGCAGACACGCGCUCUGAGUGGCUGCCCGCCCCCCUCCCUCCCCAGCUCUGGGGGUGCGGGGUCGGCGGUGGUGGGAUUCGGGGCCUCCCCAGCAAGGCGGGGACUCACCCACCCCCAGCGGUGGCAUUACCUGGACUAUGUUGGCCACAAAGAAAGGCAGCCAGGUCACAAAGAACAUGCCCAGCAGGAUGCCCAGGGUCAGGCUGGCCUUCAAGGCCUUCCUGCUAUGCUUGCUGGCUAGACGCCGGCUGUCAGCUGACUCCACCCCUGGGCGUGGGGUCCUGGGCACCUGCAGAGAGGAAGGCCACGUGACUUGUCUGCACCUCUUCCUGGCCCCAGACUGAGCCUUAAUCCUAAUUCUAGGCCGAGCCCUUAACACACUCAGCCUUGACCCUUGAAUGGGCUCCAGCUGUAGUCCUAGCCUGAGCCCUGACCGUGACUCCAGGCUGAACCUUGACCUUGGCUUCAGAGUGAGCCCUUCAGCAAUAAGCUAAACUCUGCUCAUGGCCUGACCGCUGAAACCUGCCACAGAUUGAGCCCCACACAGCCACAGUCUCAGACUGAGCCUCCAGCCUGGGCCGGACUGGGCCCAGCUUUAGCCCCAGUCCAAGCCUUGAUCCCAGAAAUAGACAGCCUUUGUCCUGGUCCUGCACCAGGCCCUGACCCUGACUAGCAGUGUGCAGGGAGCUCUAGGAAGGGCAGUGAGACUUCCCAGGGGCUCGUGUUCCUGCUUGUUGGACAGUGUCGAGCGCUGUGCUUUGCAGGGAGUGAGGGCCUCCUGAGCUGUUGGCUUUGUGUCUGGACGCAGUUUCGUCCUGCACUGCACUUGGGCACUUCAAGAAUUAGCUGCAAUUGGACAGUACUUGACGAAAGAAGACAGCUGCUGUGCGAGGCUUGACAAUCUCUUUGCCUGUGAAUUGAUUCUCUUCCUAUUUUGGAGUGACAGUUUUGCACCACUGUUUUCAUGAUCCACAAAAUAAAGUCUAUUUUGAAAACAUG